UACGAAGGGGGCUAGCGUUGCUCGGAAUCACUGGGCGUAAAGGGUGCGUAGGCGGGUCUUUAAGUCAGGGGUGAAAUCCUGGAGCUCAACUCCAGAACUGCCUUUGAUACUGAAGAUCUUGAGUUCGGGAGAGGUGAGUGGAACUCCGAGUGUAGAGGUGAAAUUCGUAGAUAUUGGGAAGAACACCGGUGGCGAAGGCGGCUCUCUGGACCGAGACUGACGCUGAGGCGCGAAAGCGUGGGGAGCAAACAGG
This 253-nucleotide ribosomal RNA is filed under the name uncultured bacterium. RNAcentral's name for it is "partial 16S ribosomal RNA". It matches the Rfam family "Bacterial small subunit ribosomal RNA", at positions 524 to 776 of the family's 1533-position model. The record is from RNAcentral.